CUCUCGGCAACGGAUAUCUAGGCUCUCGCAUCGAUGAAGAACGUAGCGAAAUGCGAUACUUGGUGUGAAUUGCAGAAUCCCGCGAAUCAUCGAGUUUUUGAACGCAAGUUGCGCCCGAAGCCCCUCGGGGCCGAGGGCACGUCUGCCUGGGCGUCACGCACCGUCGCC
This 168-nucleotide ribosomal RNA is filed under the name Lithocarpus pulcher. RNAcentral describes it as "5.8S ribosomal RNA". It matches the Rfam family "5.8S ribosomal RNA". From Rfam's summary of the family: 5.8S ribosomal RNA (5.8S rRNA) is a component of the large subunit of the eukaryotic ribosome. It is transcribed by RNA polymerase I as part of the 45S precursor that also contains 18S and 28S rRNA. The record is from RNAcentral. Lineage: Eukaryota; Viridiplantae; Streptophyta; Magnoliopsida; Fagales; Fagaceae.